CCUUUAAGGCUCACCUUAUAUCCAGCAAAUGCCAUAGCUUCUUGUUUGCGGGAGAAGUAUGUGGACAAAAAGAAGGCAACGAGAUCUCUUAUGCUGGAUGAAAAAAUCUAAUUUACUUUUGGAAUAAAGUGGGAUCCACUCUCCAAACCACCAUGUCUUUAUGAAAGAUGCAGCAAGAUGGAUCAAGUGACAAAGCUUCAAAAGCCCUUCUUUCUGAAGUGAUAGCGAUCAAAAAGGUCUUUUUGAUAAACAAGUAAUACAAUGAAACUGAUUUUAUAGAUUCAAAGGGUGCCGGCAGUAAAGCAUUGAGCUCAAUGUCAAAUUACAAGAUGGAGCUCUGUGCAUCUUAGGGGGGUUCAAUAGUUACACUCCUCUAAUGAAGCAACAAUUGUUCUUAUGGUAGGAAAUGGAAGAUUUUCUGGAUAUCCUCAAAAUUGCAGAUAGUACAGAAACGUGUUUUUUCCAGGCAUUAGCCUGCAAUCUGAUACGGAUUCUUAUUAAACCUUUAGAACAUGAGACACUUUGCCUACAUGAUACUGAUACAUCUCUCCCUACACCAAGCUUUGAAUUUAGCCCUGUUUGUUGAUUUUCUCUUCAAUGCUAACAGAGUUGGAAGAUGACCAGUGGAGUAACCAUUUUGUUCAAGAAACUUCCUUUCAAAAACUAAGUUUCAAGAUUUAACUUGCUUGGAUCCUGGUGGAAAAAACUGGACCCUGGGACAACAAAUCUGGACUCUGAUUCAAGAACAAUGGUGGCUCCACUGAUAUGUUCAUGAGGUCAGGAAACCAAGGCCUACUUGGGCAAUGGCGGGGGGGCACUAAGAUCACUUCCUCAUCCAUCUUCUUUCUGAUCUUCUGCAUUACCCUAGUGAUCCUGGGGGGAAAGCAUAAAGUAAGCCUUUUGGCCAUUUGAGCAACAGGACAUCUAUGCCUAGGGCUGCUGGGGGCAGAGGCUCCUUUUUUUUGCAAAGUAUUGGUGAAUCUUCUGGUUUGCCUUGGAUGCAAAAAUAACCAGAAUCAUAACUCUGAAUUUUUUGAUGAUCAAAAGAAUGAUUUGCUGUGAAGACUCCAUUCUUUGAUUGAUUUUCCUGCUGCUCAGCCAGUCAGCUUUCACAUUUUUACUGCCCUUGACAUGCAAGGCCCUGAUAGACUAGGUGGGCUUCUGCCCACUGCAUCAUGGAGAUCCCAUGAGCCCUUACCAGACUGAUGGUUUGUGUACACCAUUGCCAAUGUAUUCUGUCAUUACCAGAAUAUGACUGUUUGGCAAUGCUGGGGCCAGUUGUUGAAAAGCAUACUUUAUUGCCCUCAGCAAUAACUUUGUCUUUCUUUUGCUCUGAGAACAACUGUGUCCCUUGAGCCACUAAGUUCUUGGAGAACACUCCCCAUCCUUCCAGACUGGCAUCUGUUGUUACAAUGACCUCUCUGGCUCUUCCAUGGCCAUCCCUCCCUGGAAUCUCUUUGGACUCAUCCACCAAGCCAAGGAUUUCAAGGCAAGUGAUGGAAUGUUCACUUUCCGAGAUGGAAACAUCAGAAAAUGGUGGUGAAAAAAGAGCAGGAAACUCUAGAACAGGGGUCUCAAAGUCCAGGCCCACUGGCUGGCAAAGAAUUGUAUAAAGUUGUAUGGACAGUUUUAUUAUUUCUAAGAAAUUCAAAAUAAAAAAUACAAAAUAAACAUUUUCUUUUCUGAACACCAUCUUCAGUGAUAUUAUUGGCCCGCUGGGAGGACUUGAGGACUGGCACUGGCCCUAAGGUAAAUUGAGUUUGAGACCCCUGCUCUAGAGAGUCCUCAUAUAAAUUCUUACCCAAGGCAUUACACCUAUGUAGGAUACAAUCAUUUCUAGAAUACUUGUUACUAUCAUCCUUAGGCACUUCCUGAGCUGCUGAUCUGAUUUUGUCCCAUCUUUUGGCUGGCGGAAAGAUUUUGUGGCUCUUUGCAUCGAUGUCUGAAUUGUUGACUGAGUUGCUUGAGUGGAUUCUCUUUGGAUGGGGCUCUAACCAAAAUGUCAGCCAGGAAAAGAUAUACCUGUAUCUCCUCCUGCCUGAGAAAAGCCUCCAGAACAACAAGGUCUUUUGUGAACACUUGAGGUAUGGAUGACUUUCUGAAAGGCAGCACUUUGUAUUGAAAAUGAUCAGUUCCAUGUGCGAAUUAUAGAACUCUCCUGGGCACCUGGUGAAUUGACCCAUGAAUGUAGGCCUUACCUUACAUCAGUCAGUUUGAGAACACCAGUGGCAGAUCGCCACUGCUAUGAACUUCAAGUUCUCCAUCUGAAAAGCUAGUUCUCCUUAUGAACUUAUUCAGAUGCUUUAAGUCCAACACCACUCUAUCCUCCUUGGAUCUCUUGAGUACCAGAAACAAGACCAAGUAGUGGCUGGAGUACAACUCCAGCUAGGGAACUCUCUCCAUCAUGCUGAUUCAGAAAACAUGUUCUAUGGCCUUUAGCAUAUUUCACCUCUUUUGUGGGUUUCAGGAUACCAGAGAAAGGAGAAUACAGUGAUUUGGAAUCUUGGAAAAUUCUAGGAUAUACCCUUGUAGAACCCUAUCAAGGACUUUUCUGUCCAAUGAGUAGAGAGGCCACUGGGUCUUGAAUUUUAAUAGUCUCCCACAUAGGUGUUGCUCAUCAGAACUCACCUGAACAUAGUCAAGCAUUGUUUCUAGUGUUUAAAUGUGCAUUGCAGAAAGACUGGUCUCUCCCCUUUCUGGGCUUAGACAUGUUCUAUUUGCUUUUAUUAUAGUGUAGCCUUCCAUACUUACAGGAGCAGCCACGAAAAGAAUAUUUAGAUCUGUAAUAAGAUCAGCUAUCCCUUUUCCUGGAUUUGGAGUUGGGAGGGGCGGGGGUUUGUAAGGUUGGGAUUUUUUUGCUUUUGUUAUUUACCUGAGGAUUACACCACCACUUUGUUACUGACCUCCUGAAUAUUUUGAAGCCACUAUCAUGAUUUUGACCUUAUAUUGCCCUUCCAGGCAUUGUAACCAGAUGCACCAUCUGGUCACCACACUGGAGGCCAUGGCAUGUGCUGAAAACAUCAAAACAUCUCUGGUUGCACUGGCUAUGAAUACUGAAGCCAUUGAGAUUUUUUUAAAACUCUGAACCUAAACAAAAUGAUUUCUUAGCCUUUUUUGGCAGUCUGGCUGCCAAACUGUCAGUCCAGGACAGUAGUAUUUUUGCAAAAUAUUAGGCCAGAGUUGAAGGCUUCAGAGAGGAAGAUUUAGCCUCAAACAUAUGGCACUGUGAUAUUUCCAUUUGGUUGCUGUUGGAUUCUUUUGGGAAAGAUCCCCUUCUGUUGGGAGAGCAAUAUCUUUGACUAAUGUGAAAUGGCCCCAUCCACUUUGGGAAGACACACAAAAUCUGCUUUGCUGUGGUGCACAUUGUAGAAUAUUUGGACAUGUCUGGACAAUCCAUAGACUCUUCUGGUAUCUCCCAUUUGGACUUAAUUACUCUUUCCAAAAAGACACGGAGGAGAAUGUGUGAUUCAGAUUUUUUCAACCGGUUGGAAAAUAUUUCUUUCUUUGUAAUUUCUGUACCAACUCUCUCUUCUUCUUCCUUAAGAUCUUUUUUUAAUGGUUUCAUUUGAUGGCAUACUCAAGUAUCCAAUCACCUUUCAGAACAUCUUUUCAAAUGGUUCAGUUGGGAAAAGAUUCUUGUUUUGCUUCAUCCUGCAAUUCAGACUCUGAGAUUGAGAAUUCACACUCCUACUAUGAAGAAGAUCCUGAUUUUACCCUGGACUUCUUUUUUCCUCUCUUGGACUUAGACGUUCUAGCCUUCUUUUUCUUUGGUGAGGCCCAUGAAGAUGAGGAGGAAAAUGAAUUCAUGAUGAAGAUGAAGAACCAGACACAGACAAUUCUAUUCCUUUUAUUAUGUUUUUUUUCUUUCCACUGGGUAACAAUGCAGCAUAUAGAGGAAACUAAGGCACACACAGGAAUUCAUAACUUCAUCACAGCCUUUAAGGGAGACACUGCAGCUGCUGCCUAAGGCUCACAGUGUGGCAGCCUCUGAGAGAAAGGUGCUUUUUGUGCCAAAUCCAAGAGCUCCUAGCCCAAGAGGGAAUUUCUUUCUGAAGGGGAGAUUCCCUUCUUUCCCCCAGCAAUGCAUAAUUCCUGACUUCCCCUGGGACUAAGGGAAGGAAACUGAGUUGCAUGGCAAGGAAAGGGGUGAGGAGAGGAUGAUGAGACCCACACUGAGGGAGGGCAUGUGCCCAAAAUGGUCUUACCUGCUGCUUCUUGCUCUGUCUAGGGUGCAUUCAGCUGGUCCAGCUUAUGUUUUCCCUGUGCCCUUUGAUGUAACCACCUCCGAUGGCCAAAGGGCUCUCCUUAUUUUUCUGCCAUCCUUUGAGAUGUUUGUGGCCUGACUCCUGCUGGCGGGGAGUGUCUGGGGAACUGGCUCCUAGAUUUGAGUAAGGCAGUCAAGGCUAAACCUUUCUGACCAGGCAGAUGAGGUGGCUGGAGUGCACAAGACACAAACCUCUCUUUUUUGCACCCUCUGGCAGGGAUACAGAGCUAGAAGAAAGCAAAUACGCCUCUUCAGGGUUUUUUUUUAAUUUUCUCUCUUGCAGGAGGUGCUGGAUUCACUGUCCUGCCAGUAGCUACAAGAGGUAGAACAAAACUGAGGAGGUCUCCAGAAGGUGGGGUCUAGUCCCUUGUCAGCCAUCCACUCAGCUUUGAUUCUGCCUCUACAGCUAUAGAAAGGUGACGAACCACACUGAGGAUUUAUGAACUUAGCCCUGAGAGAGAUAAUGCUGUCCUUGGGAGCCAAAAAAUCCUACCGCGUUAUAGGUGAAACCGCGUUAUAUCAAACUUGCUUUGAUCCACCGCAGCCCUCUGGCAACUGUGAUCAGAUGAACAUUUUGUUCUUCAUAUGGAGCAUCAAGUUUCUGGAGCUUGAGCUGCCCUGGCAUGAAUUCUUGAAGUGAAGGCACUAAUGUCUGGUCACUUAAACCUUCUUAUUGGCUUUAACAGCAAAAUACAGUUGGGUUUGUGAGCAACACUCUGGCUGUGUUUAGUAGCAGAGGAGACUUCAGAAAUGGCCACAGAAUUUGAAUGAGGUGCCGUACUUUCCAGUUAUAUUGUGCCCUGUCCCUGUGUGGGUUGGACCUGGUAGAGUAAGGAGCCACUGUUAGAUCACAAGCAGCCUGCUGGUAACUGGAAGCCACCACACUCCAGGAAAAAGUGAUCAAGGGAAGAGACAAUUUGUUCCUGCUCUUUGGGCAAUGACAGUGUUACCUCUGAAUAACAUGGAUAAAGGUUGCCUCUCGAGGAGGGAUUAGUCUGAGUACAUUUAGUGGGACUGGACUGGAUACAUUGCAGACUACUCCAAAAUCUACCCAGUAAGGUUAAAAGCAGACUGCAUGAGGUCACAACUCCAGGAGAGAGAGAGAGAGAGAGAUCUCUGAGGUUCUUAUAAUCUGCCCUUCAGUGUGGUAUCUCUGUGUCUACUGCACCUCUGGCAUGCUGCCCUCCAUGUUGCAAGGCAAGAGAGAGUUCUCAAAUGAAUGAGUGAAAGAAGGUGAAGAAGGAAUACAUUCCUCACUGGCUUGCUAUUUUAAAUCUAUUUCUUGUUUCUUAGUAAUACCCUGAAUGUCUUUCAAGUGAGACCCUGACUCUGCUUUUGGGAGGAGUUAGAGAGACAAGGUAGGUAAGGUAAUAUCUUUUAUUGGAUCAACUUCUGUUGGUGAGCGAGUCUAGCUUAUGAGCUACACAGAACUCUUCCUCAGGUCUGGGAAAGGUACUCAGAGUGUCAUAGCUAAAUAUAAGAUUGAACAGAUAAUUUGGCAUAUGUAGUUAGCACAUAUUCUAAGGGGCCAGGAAGAGUUCUGUGUAGCUUGAAAGCUUGUCUCUCUCACCAACAGAAGUUGGUUCAACCCACCUUGUCUUUCUAAUAUCCUGGGACCAACAUGGCUACAACACCACUGCACACAACUUUGGGAGAACUUGUGAAUUAAAGAGAGACUUUGCUUUAUACAACAGCAUGUAUGUUGGGUUUUGUAUCUUUAUGAAUGAUCUGGGUGGCAAAGAGCUCAAGUCUCCAUGUUGUAUUUAAUGCUUAUUGAAGAAAGCAGGAGUGAGUCAAGCAGUACACACUCGAGGACACCUAUAGAUAGUUUACAGAAUGAAGUAGGAGCCUACUGAUGGAAGAACUAGUUCAGUUUGCUAGCUGGAUAAAGAAGGAAUACAUUUAAUACUAUUGACUGCUUGCUGACUUCAACCAAAUUAAAACACCAUGACCUCAAUCUGUAUUCCUUCCAAUAACAAUUCCAACCUUUUUUGCUGCCUAUAUUAUAAUUCUUUUUGCAAACAGGAUGCAUGAGUUUAUUUGUUUGAAGGGCAUUUCCUUUCUGUAAACUCCUGAUAGAGGUAUUUGCCCUCAAAAUUCACUUGUCUUUUCAGGCCUCCUGGGCAUACAGCAGUUACUCUAAAUGUUCCCCUACCAAAAUAGAAUAGGUAUGAAAAAUGCACAAAGUUUAUUCUUUGUUGACCAAUCUGUCUCUAUCAUAACCAGCUGUCAGCAACUGUGAAAUCUAUUAAAAUACAAUAUUACAGGGUUAAAGAGGUAAAAGAAUCAUUUUAGCCAUACUAUUAAAAAAAUAGCAUUGAAAAUCACAUGAAAAAAUACAGAAUGUAAAAUUGUCUGUUGCCAUCCAGUAGAUGAGUGUUUGUAUAGUACCUCACCUCCUUCAAGUCCCUCUAAAAUUCCACUUCUUCCAAAAGGCCUAGGAACCUCUUUCUACCUACUCUCCACCUUCCUCCUUCACAGAGGUAUGAACUAAUAGGGGAGAAUGAAAACAACAAACACAAAUCCAACAAACUGAAGAAACUUUAAACAAAAUUGUGAAAUUAACAAGAAAUAUCCUUGAUUUCACUUUUCAUUCACACUUUUCUCUACCUUCCAUCUUCCUUUUUUGUCUGUUCAUUGUCUAAUUAGGGCACAAUACUAUAACUGUUACACAUACUGGCUAGUAGUUAUUCAUGUAAAUAACCCCAUUAAUAAUGGAAGGGCAACACAAUUACAAUGGAGUGCUCAAUGCUGGUGCUCAAACUAGUCUCCUUGAGAUGAAACACAAACAGUCCACUGGUCAGCAUCCAUUUUGAUGAUUAUUAAUAACAUUUAGACCUUUAUAUCUAGUGUACAUUUUCAAAGCACAUUAAUAAUGGUAUAUAUUUUAUUUUUAAGUUAACAGUAUGCCAGGCACUUUAUAGAAACACACAUACCAUCUAAAUGAAUGCAGCAUAAAUAACAUCAGACAGAUUGACAGACAAAAGAAAGACCCAUCUCUACUCUGAAAAGUUCAUACUCGAAGGACCUGAUUCUACAACCCUUGUGCACUUUGGAUAGUACUUACUCAUGUGAGUAGUUCAGUGGGAUAAAGGAGUCAGAUUCAUGGACUGUAGUACCUUUCAAAAGGUUUCUUUCAAAAAGUUUGUUUCUUUCUAAAUGUUUCUGUGGUUUUGUUAAAGAUUAGAAUGAGGAUAUGCUUUCUGCUGGCACCAAGGAGUUAGAAGGAAUGUAGUAUGUAAUAUGUAAGUCCAGAAGAAUUCUUUUGCUACUAAUUAAUUUCCAUUUGUUGUAAAGUAUUAAAAGAACUGAGUUCUGGUUGAUGAUAAAAUGUUUAUUUAAAGUUUUGUACUGAAUGUCAUGUUGGUAUUUGACCCUCAAGAGUGUUUGUUUUGAGGGACAAAAGUACAAAGAGAGUUUUUAGUGGAUGACUUCAGAUUUAGUAAAUCAAAUAUGAAACUAAGAAAAUAUGGUACCAAUGGAUUUGCAUAAUUUUAUGCUGAUCAAAGACCUCCUUCAUCUUUGGUAUGACUAAUAAGGAGGAAAGGAGUGGAAACAGCAGUUUAUUUAUUUAUGUAGACUUUAGGGGAAUUUGGCUGUGAUGCAGUCAUUUGGUAAAAGUAUGUAGGAGGCUGCAUUUCCACAAAUUUCAAUGAAAAGUGUGUAAGUAAACCAGGAAUGAGAGCAGCCAGACUCAGAACUAGAUGCACUGGGCAAUUUAGCUGAUACAAAGUAAUGGCCCAAACUUGUUGGGUUCUGAGCCCCUCCCACUCCCAUUUGACAUUUAUGGGAGUGGAGUAUGCUCAGCACCUCAAAGGAUCAGGUUGCACAUAUAUUUCAGAUUAUUUCUGCAACAUAAAAACGUGGGUUGGGUACAGAGAAUUUUAACUAUGUUAAAUUUAUAAUUAGAGUUUAGCAAAUCAAUCAUAAUGAGUAAUUUAUUUGGAGAAUUUAGUUUCUUUUUCUGCUUGCAGACAUCUGCAAGGAGAUGAUGAUCCUCUCAGUUCCAUUCAAUGCUCACAGUUUUUUAUAAACACCUUCUCACAUUUUUUACUCUAUGAAUCAAUUGUGAAAAUUCAAAAUUCAAGAGGUUCUGCUUCAUUGUGAUUGGUCAAAUAGGUCACAUGGCAUUGUUUCUAUUCCUUGAACAAGCAAAUACACAAGCACUUCUGACAGCAGUACUUAUGUAUGCAAGUUUUAAAAUUGGUUUCUGUGAUUAAUAACGUGCAACUUUGAAAUUCACUUUUCAGGUAUGUUCUUGCCAGUAAAACUUGAUUGUUCAAAUGUUUACAAAAAGCAGCAGUCCAUGAGAGAUGUGAACAAUGUACAAAUCAAUAUUUGUGGAUUUUCCCCCUUACUAAUUAAAAUCUUUGUAUAAUUUUUCAAAAA
Non-coding RNA from Chrysemys picta bellii (western painted turtle), 8653 nucleotides. Lineage: Eukaryota; Metazoa; Chordata; Testudines; Emydidae. The record is from RefSeq and is a predicted model, not a curated record.